RNAcentral lists this unclassified non-coding RNA (217 nucleotides) under fungal sp. Its description in RNAcentral is "partial internal transcribed spacer region". The stretch from base 1 to 46 matches the Rfam family "Eukaryotic small subunit ribosomal RNA", at positions 1786 to 1831 of the family's 1831-position model. Lineage: Eukaryota; Fungi. The record is from RNAcentral.
AAGUCGUAACAAGGUUUCCGUAGGUGAACCUGCGGAAGGAUCAUUAAAAACGUAUCCAACGUUAACCAACCGUGAACUUGUUUAUUUAACACACUAUUUUCACCCCUAUUUUGCUAGUUGAUUUUAUACAUGUUGAUUGUCUGCGAAAGCCGAGCAGUCUUCACGUUUCUUAAUUGAACGUAAAAUACAACUCUUAGCAAUGGAUAUCUAGGUUCUC